Molecule: long non-coding RNA, 182 nt
Organism: Eubalaena glacialis (North Atlantic right whale)
Lineage: Eukaryota; Metazoa; Chordata; Mammalia; Artiodactyla; Balaenidae
Exons: 3
Source: RefSeq, a predicted model, not a curated record
AGGAUCAGACAUCGGACUGCCCGGCAGAUCCCCUGCCAGAGAGAGAGGACGCGGCCAAGGUGGGCCCAGCAAGAUGAGAGCUGAAAACUGACUGCUGAGUUCAGCCGUGGGGACCUUGGUGCUGAUGAUUGUGCCCAGGGUUGUCAGGUGGAGGAGCACUGGAUGAGAAGCAAUGACCCAUG